AGCAGCCGCGGUAAUUCCAGCUCCAAUAGCGUAUAUUAAAGUUGUUGCAGUUAAAAGCUCGUAGUUGAAUUUCGGGAUCAAUGCGUCGGUCGUGCCUUCGGUACGUACUAGCGUCAUUGAUUCCUCCCUUCUGAAGAACCGUGAUGUCAUUAAUUUGGUGUUACGGGGAAUCAGGACUGUUACCUUGAAAAAUUAGAGUGUUUAAAGCAGGCUAACGCUUGAAUACAUUAGCAUGGAAUAAUGAAAUAGGACGUUCGAACCUAUUUUGUUGGUUUCUAGGAUCGACGUAAUGAUUAAUAGGGAUAGUUGGGGGCAUUAGUAUUCAAUUGUCAGAGGUGAAAUUCUUGGAUUUAUUGAAGACUGACUACUGCGAAAGCAUUUGCCAAGGAUGUUUUCAUUAAUCAAGAACGAAAGUUAGGGAUCGAAGACGAUCAGAUACCGUCGUAGUCUUAACCAUAAACUAUGCCGACUAGGGAUCGGAUGAU
RNAcentral lists this unclassified non-coding RNA (485 nucleotides) under uncultured Glomus. Its description in RNAcentral is "SSU rRNA". It matches the Rfam family "Eukaryotic small subunit ribosomal RNA", at positions 569 to 1061 of the family's 1831-position model. The record is from RNAcentral. Lineage: Eukaryota; Fungi; Glomeromycota; Glomeromycetes; Glomerales; Glomeraceae.